Molecule: ribosomal RNA, 416 nt
Filed under: bacterium enrichment culture clone ALO1_GLFRUDD03HE2X1
Lineage: Bacteria
Description: bacterial SSU rRNA
Rfam family: Bacterial small subunit ribosomal RNA
Source: RNAcentral
GAGUUUGAUCCUGGCUCAGAUUGAACGCUGGCGGCAUGCCUUACACAUGCAAGUCGAACGGCAGCACGGGAGCUUGCUCCUGGUGGCGAGUGGCGAACGGGUGAGUAAUGCAUCGGAACGUAUCCUGGAGUGGGGGAUAACGUAGCGAAAGUUACGCUAAUACCGCAUAUUCUGCGAGCAGGAAAGCGGGGGACCUUCGGGCCUCGCGCUCUUGGAGCGGCCGAUGUCGGAUUAGCUAGUUGGUGAGGUAAAGGCUCACCAAGGCGACGAUCCGUAGCAGGUCUGAGAGGAUGAUCUGCCACACUGGAACUGAGACACGGUCCAGACUCCUACGGGAGGCAGCAGUGGGAAUUUUGGACAAUGGGGGCAACCCUGAUCCAGCCAUGCCGCGUGAGUGAAGAAGGCCUGGUUCGUAA